GGCCCGGGUGACCAGCGUGUACGCGGCCUGCGCCUCGGGCGCGCAGGCGAUCGGGGCGGCCCGGGCGCAGAUCCUGGCCGGGCUG
RNAcentral lists this transfer RNA (85 nucleotides) under Streptomyces subrutilus. Its description in RNAcentral is "tRNA-Pro". The record is from RNAcentral. Lineage: Bacteria; Bacillati; Actinomycetota; Actinomycetes; Kitasatosporales; Streptomycetaceae.